This is a long non-coding RNA of Aethalodelphis obliquidens (Pacific white-sided dolphin), 1277 nucleotides long. RefSeq lists it as uncharacterized. NCBI's taxonomy places the organism in Eukaryota, Metazoa, Chordata, Mammalia, Artiodactyla, Delphinidae. The transcript is spliced from 2 exons. The record is from RefSeq and is a predicted model, not a curated record.
GGGAAGCCCGCAUACUGGAUUUUUAAGCCUUAGUAUGGAAAAAAAAAAAUGAUCCAUUCAAGGAUUAUACACUGCAUUUAAUUGCCAAGUUUCUGUAGUCUCCUUCCUUUAAUCUGAAACAAUUCCCCAAUUUUUUUUUUAUAGCAUUGAAUAGUGGAAGACAUUUGCUUCAGAAAGUCCCUCAAUUUAGACAAGUAUUUCUCUUGUCAGGAAAACUACCUUAAGUGAUAUGUCCUUCUCAGUGCAUUAUAUCAUAAUUCAAAUAAUGCUGAUGUAUUGUGUUAUCUCUAAUGGUAAAUGUGGUAGGCAGAAUAAUGGCUCCCACAGAGAUGUACCUGUCCUAAUCUCCAGAGUAUAUGAAUAUUACUUCACGUGGCAGUAGGAAUUUUGCAGAUGUGUUUAAAUUAAGGAUUUUGAGAGAGAGAUUAGCCUGGAUUAUCUGGGUGGGCCGGAAAUCAUCACAGGGGUCCUUUUCAGUCAAGGAGGGAGACUGGAGAGUUGGAGUCCCAGUGAUGUGAUCCCAGGAAGACUCUACCAGCGUUUAACUGGCUUUGAAGAUGGAGGCAGGGGACCAUGAGCUAAGGAAUGCAAGGGGCCUCUAGAAACUGAAAAAGGCAAGGAAAAUGUUCUCCCUCAGCACCUCCAGAAAGAAAGCAGCUCUGCCAACACCGAGAUUCUGACCCAUGUCAGAAUUCUGGACUACAGAACCGUAAGAUAAUAAAUUUGUGCUGUUGUAAGCCACUAAGUUUGUGGUGAAUUUUUUACAGCACCAAUAGGAAACAAACACAGUAAGUCUGAUCAUUUGGUGAAGGUGCCUGCCAUAUUUCUCCAUUGUAAAGUUACCCUUUACACUUGUAAUUAACAAAUAACAACAACAACAACAAAAAGCAAAUAUCACCAUGAAGUAAUACUUUGAAAAUGUAUGAAUUUUCUGUUCCCCCUCAAAAUUUCACCCAGUGGUUUUAGCAUCCACCGAUUAUGCUUGCCUGAAUCAAUUACUACUAUGUUGACCGCAAAACAGUGUAAUUUUAUUAUUCACCUGUAAAGAACUUUCCUUUCUGUAUUCCCUCUUUUUAUUCUUUAUUUAAUUUUAAAAUAUCAGUUUGGACUCAUUCUUUUUUUAUUUUUGUGGUUUUAGUCAAUGUGUUAUAAUCUACUGCUGUCAUUAUUAAUACUUAAAUUGUUCCAAAUAUGGCCAGAAGGAGUGUCUGUAAGCUGGCUCCUGUAUUCUUUUGACAGGUCCCUAUAAAUUUUUGAGCAAUUACUUUCUAGCAUAA